UUAACACAUGCAAGUCGAGGGGCAUCAGGCCCCUAGCGUGCUUUCUUUGCUGGCGACCGGCGCACGGGUGAGUAACACGUAUCCAACCUGCCCUUUACUCGGGGAUAGCCUUUCGAAAGAAAGAUUAAUACCCGAUAGCAUAAUGAUUCCGCAUGGUUUCAUUAUUAAAGGAUUCCGGUAAAGGAUGGGGAUGCGUUCCAUUAGGUUGUUGGUGGGGUAACGGCCCACCAAGCCUUCGAUGGAUAGGGGUUCUGAGAGGAAGGUCCCCCACAUUGGAACUGAGACACGGUCCAAACUCCUACGGGAGGCAGCAGUGAGGAAUAUUGGUCAAUGGGCGCUAGCCUGAACCAGCCAAGUAGCGUGAAGGAUGAAGGCUCUAUGGGUCGUAAACUUCUUUUAUAUAAGAAUAAAGUGCAGUAUGUAUACUGUUUUGUAUGUAUUAUAUGAAUAAGGAUCGGCUAACUCCGUGCCAGCAGCCGCGGUAAUACGGAGGAUCCGAGCGUUAUCCGGAUUUAUUGGGUUUAAAGGGAGCGUAGGUGGACUGGUAAGUCAGUUGUGAAAGUUUGCGGCUCAACCGUAAAAUUGCAGUUGAUACUGUCAGUCUUGAGUACAGUAGAGGUGGGCGGAAUUCGUGGUGUAGCGGUGAAAUGCUUAGAUAUCACGAAGAACUCCGAUUGCGAAGGCAGCUCACUGGACUGCAACUGACACUGAUGCUCGAAAGUGUGGGUAUCAAACAGGAUUAGAUACCCUGGUAGUCCACACAGUAAACGAUGAAUACUCGCUGUUUGCGAUAUACAGUAAGCGGCCAAGCGAAAGCAUUAAGUAUUCCACCUGGGGAGUACGCCGGCAACGGUGAAACUCAAAGGAAUUGACGGGGGCCCGCACAAGCGGAGGAACAUGUGGUUUAAUUCGAUGAUACGCGAGGAACCUUACCCGGGCUUAAAUUGCAGUGGAAUGAUGUGGAAACAUGUCAGUGAGCAAUCACCGCUGUGAAGGUGCUGCAUGGUUGUCGUCAGCUCGUGCCGUGAGGUGUCGGCUUAAGUGCCAUAACGAGCGCAACCCUUAUCUUUAGUUACUAACAGGUCAUGCUGAGGACUCUAGAGAGACUGCCGUCGUAAGAUGUGAGGAAGGUGGGGAUGACGUCAAAUCAGCACGGCCCUUACGUCCGGGGCUACACACGUGUUACAAUGGGGGGUACAGAAGGCAGCUAGCGGGUGACCGUAUGCUAAUCCCAAAAGCCUCUCUCAGUUCGGAUCGAAGUCUGCAACCCGACUUCGUGAAGCUGGAUUCGCUAGUAAUCGCGCAUCAGCCACGGCGCGGUGAAUACGUUCCCGGGCCUUGUACACACCGCCCGUCAAGCCAUGGGAGCCGGGGGUACCUGAAGUACGUAACCGCAAGGAUCGUCCUAGGGUAAAACUGGUGACUG
This 1426-nucleotide ribosomal RNA is filed under the name uncultured organism. RNAcentral's name for it is "SSU rRNA". It matches the Rfam family "Bacterial small subunit ribosomal RNA". The record is from RNAcentral.